This 2340-nucleotide ribosomal RNA is filed under the name Xanthomonas campestris pv. zingibericola. Its description in RNAcentral is "partial 23S ribosomal RNA". It matches the Rfam family "Bacterial large subunit ribosomal RNA", at positions 600 to 2925 of the family's 2925-position model. The record is from RNAcentral. Lineage: Bacteria; Pseudomonadati; Pseudomonadota; Gammaproteobacteria; Lysobacterales; Lysobacteraceae.
CGUACCUUUUGUAUAAUGGGUCAGCGACUUACUGUUCGUGGCAAGCUUAACCGUAUAGGGGAGGCGAAGGGAAACCGAGUCUGAUAAGGGCGCAUAGUCGCGGGCAGUAGACCCGAAACCGGGUGAUCUAGUCAUGGCCAGGGUGAAGGUGCCGUAACAGGUACUGGAGGCCCGAACCCACGUCUGUUGCAAAAGACGGGGAUGAGCUGUGAUUAGGAGUGAAAAGCUAAUCGAACCCGGAGAUAGCUGGUUCUCCUCGAAAGCUAUUUAGGUAGCGCCUCAUAUGUAUCCUCUCGGGGGUAGAGCACUGUUAUGGCUAGGGGGUCAUCGCGACUUACCAAACCAUUGCAAACUCCGAAUACCGAGACGGACUGUAUGGGAGACACACGGCGGGUGCUAACGUCCGUCGUGAAAAGGGAAACAACCCAGACCCACAGCUAAGGUCCCAAAUUCACUGCUAAGUGGAAAACGAUGUGGAAAGGCAUAGACAGCCAGGAGGUUGGCUUAGAAGCAGCCACCCUUUAAAGAAAGCGUAAUAGCUCACUGGUCGAGUCGGUCUGCGCGGAAGAUUUAACGGGGCUAAGCAGUGAACCGAAGCUUGGGGUGCAUAAAACUUGUUUUAUGCGCGGUAGAGGAGCGUUCCGUAAGCCUGCGAAGGUGGAUUGAGAAGUCUGCUGGAGGUAUCGGAAGUGCGAAUGCUGACAUGAGUAACGAUAAUGCGGGUGAAAAGCCCGCACGCCGAAAGCCCAAGGUUUCCUUGCGCAACGUUAAUCGACGCAGGGUUAGUCGGUCCCUAAGGCGAGGGCGAAAGCCGUAGUCGAUGGGAAGCAGGUUAAUAUUCCUGCACCUCGCGUGAGUGCGAUGGAGGGACGGAGAAGGUUAGGUGUACCGGGCGUUGGUUGUCCCGGGGAAAGGCGGUAGGUUUGGAUCUUUGGCAAAUCCGGGAUCCUUUAAGACCGAGCACCGAGACGAGCCUUUAUGGCGAAGUCACUGAUACCACGCUUCCAGGAAAAGCUCCUAAGCUUCAGCUCACGAAGACCGUACCGUAAACCGACACAGGUGGGUAGGAUGAGAAUUCUCAGGCGCUUGAGAGAACUCGGGUGAAGGAACUAGGCAACAUGGCACCGUAACUUCGGGAGAAGGUGCACCCUUUUUGGUGGCUCGUGCGAGCUAUAGCUGAAGAGGGUCGCAGAAACCAGGCCGCUGCGACUGUUUAUCAAAAACACAGCACUCUGCAAACACGAAAGUGGACGUAUAGGGUGUGACGCCUGCCCGGUGCUGGAAGGUUAAUUGAUGGGGUCAGCCGCAAGGCGAAGCUCUUGAUCGAAGCCCCAGUAAACGGCGGCCGUAACUAUAACGGUCCUAAGGUAGCGAAAUUCCUUGUCGGGUAAGUUCCGACCUGCACGAAUGGCGUAACGACAGCGGCGCUGUCUCCACCCGAGACUCAGUGAAAUUGAAAUCGCUGUGAAGAUGCAGCGUUCCCGUGGCAAGACGGAAAGACCCCGUGAACCUUUACUAUAGCUUUACACUGAACGUUGAGUUCGUCUGUGUAGGAUAGGUGGGAGGCUAUGAAACUGUGGCGCUAGCUGCAGUGGAGCCAUCCUUGAAAUACCACCCUGUCGUGCUUGACGUUCUAACCUAGGUCCGUUAUCCGGAUCAGGGACCGUGUAUGGUGGGUAGUUUGACUGGGGCGGUCUCCUCCUAAAGAGUAACGGAGGAGCACGAAGGUACGCUCAGCGCGGUCGGACAUCGCGCACUGUGUGCAAAGGCAUAAGCGUGCUUGACUGCAAGAUCGACGGAUCAAGCAGGUACGAAAGUAGGUCUUAGUGAUCCGGUGGUUCUGUAUGGAAGGGCCAUCGCUCAACGGAUAAAAGGUACUCCGGGGAUAACAGGCUGAUACCGCCCAAGAGUUCAUAUCGACGGCGGUGUUUGGCACCUCGAUGUCGGCUCAUCACAUCCUGGGGCUGUAGUCGGUCCCAAGGGUAUGGCUGUUCGCCAUUUAAAGUGGUACGCGAGCUGGGUUCAGAACGUCGUGAGACAGUUCGGUCCCUAUCUGCCAUGGGCGUUGGAAGUUUGAGAGGGGCUGCUCCUAGUACGAGAGGACCGGAGUGGACGAACCUCUGGUGUUCCGGUUGUCACGCCAGUGGCAUUGCCGGGUAGCUAUGUUCGGAAGCGAUAACCGCUGAAAGCAUCUAAGCGGGAAGCGCGCCUCAAGAUGAGACUUCCCGGGGCACAAGCCCCCUAAAGGAACCAUGUAGACUACGUGGUUGAUAGGUCAGGUGUGUAAGUACAGCAAUGUAUUGAGCUAACUGAUACUAAUGAUCCGUGCGGCUUGACCAU